GGACUACACGGGUAUCUAAUCCUGUUUGCUCCCCAUGCUCUCGCGCCUCAGCGUCAGGUAAUAGCUAGAAAACCGCUUUCGCCACCGGUGUUCUUCCACAUAUCUACGCAUUUCACCGCUACACGUGGAAUUCCGUUUUCUCCGCCAUCCCUCUAUAGACCUUCAGUUUCAAAUGCAGCUCCGGAGUUGAGCUCCGGAAUUUCACAUUUGACUUGAUGGCCCGCCUACGCGCCCUUUACGCCCAGUAAAUCCGAUUAAUGCUUGCACCCUCCGUAUUACCGCGGCUGCUGGCAC
RNAcentral lists this ribosomal RNA (294 nucleotides) under uncultured bacterium. Its description in RNAcentral is "partial 16S ribosomal RNA". The record is from RNAcentral.